Long non-coding RNA from Gasterosteus aculeatus aculeatus (three-spined stickleback), 791 nucleotides. NCBI's taxonomy places the organism in Eukaryota, Metazoa, Chordata, Actinopteri, Perciformes, Gasterosteidae. The record is from Ensembl.
AGUGCGGCUGCUGUGCUAUAACAGUCCGGCAUGUAUGAGCAGGGGCCCCCGCCGAGGUCUCACUUACAGUGCAGUGAUUGAAGGGUGCGACGGUUACGUAACUGCAAGGUGUGGUGUGACGCCGCGUGAAUACGAAGCCUUGUCCCACAGUUUCACAUGCAGAGCCCUGAGGUUGCUCGUGUCCUCUUUGUUUGACUGCAACCUUUUUGUGGCGAGCUGCGUUGGACUUUACCUCCACUUCUCACGGUAACUGCUCCCAGGUAUGUUAUUGCCCUGCCUUUUGGACAUGUGGUUUAGCGUGCCUGGCAGGGCGGCGGGCGGCUCUCCUGGCUCGGCGUGUUUAUGCAGGUGCAGGACGUUCAGGACACACCGCCCUGCAGAGCCCCUUGGAGGGGCUUUUUUCAGGGCAGCCUAUCCUGCAGUAUUGGAAGGGGGCCGCCUAUAAGUGGCAUUUCGGAGGGACGGCCCAGAAAAGGCAUUUCCUCAGGUUACUGGAAAUGAAGCAGUAAAAGGUUUGAACCGACUCAACAUACAUCAAAGUGCAGGUGGAAGCAACCAGUCCGUGCAGGUAAAAAAAACGUGACCUCCAGCUAGCCGGCCCGCGUUCACACGGCGACAGAAGUCUUCUGCCGCAGUAAUGACGGGUCGAUCGCACGCCGCGAUUUCACGCACAGGAAGGACAGAAAAGCCGGGGCUCUGUUCUCCAACAGCUUUCCAGGAUAAUGAAUUCCUCUGGUUUGGUCAGCCAGCAAAAGACAUGAGGAGAAAGGGGGCGGUGGACUGCAUGAGAG